UCAUUUCAAGCAGACGCCAAGCAUCAAUAGCGUGGUCUGUGCUAUGUGAUUGCAUUGUUACUGCUGGAGUGAGCAAUUUCAGAUUGCGUCAUGAUGGCGUGCCCCGUUAGCGUCGUGAUCGGCGUGCCCUGUUAGCGUCAUGGUUGGCGUGCCCUGUGUUAGCGUCAUGAUUGGCGUGCCCUGUGUUAACACGAUAUGUUUUAUUUAUUCGUGUGCUGUGAUUUCAACACCAGCAUUGGUCAGAGGAGACUCGCAAACAGCAAGGAAAGGAGGCUGCUCUUCAUCAGCCAGAAGUUUGAUACAAAGGAGUACACAAGUUGACUUCAUUACUUAUAAGCAAAGUCAAUUUUUUGGAUAUAGAUGGGCAGCAAUUUUAUCGAGCCAUGACAUCUGAUUUCUGUUAUCCUGCUUAUGGUGACCUGUUACUUGAUGAUAAGCCAAACCUAAGUUGCCUCUAGGAAUUAUGAAUGUCAAAUUUGGGACACAGCUGUGCAGUUUUUUUAUCGAGCUCUAACAUCUGAAGACCGCCAUUAUUACCUGUUGACGGGACCAAGAAAAGGAAUCUUGCCGGUAUCAUCACAUAACUUCCGCCACAUACGAGGUAAUCUCCCUGUGGACUCCUUUGUCAAACUUCUAGCUGAUGAAGAGGAGCCUACUUUCCUUGCUGCUUGCGAGUCUCCUCUGACCAAUGCUGGAGUUGAAAUCACUAUGGCACGCCAAUCAUGACGCUAACACAGGUCACGCCAAUCAUGACGCUAACACAGGGCACGCCAAUCAUGACGCUAACACAGGUCACGCCAAUCAUGACGCUAACACAGGGCACGCCAACCAUGACGCUAACAGGGCACGCCAUCAUGACGCUAUCUUUUCAACAAAGCAGUAACACUGCAAUCAUCCCAAUCACAAAGCACAGACCACGCUAUUACAAGAUGCUUGGCGUCUGCUUGAAAUGAAAUCGAUUCAAAAUCGAUUUCUAAAAAAUCAAAUGUUACGAAGAAUACAAUUAAC
Long non-coding RNA from Daphnia magna, 1008 nucleotides. RefSeq lists it as uncharacterized. Lineage: Eukaryota; Metazoa; Arthropoda; Branchiopoda; Diplostraca; Daphniidae. The transcript is spliced from 9 exons. The record is from RefSeq and is a predicted model, not a curated record.